This 465-nucleotide ribosomal RNA is filed under the name Vreelandella stevensii. RNAcentral describes it as "partial 16S ribosomal RNA". It matches the Rfam family "Bacterial small subunit ribosomal RNA", at positions 338 to 795 of the family's 1533-position model. The record is from RNAcentral. Lineage: Bacteria; Pseudomonadati; Pseudomonadota; Gammaproteobacteria; Oceanospirillales; Halomonadaceae.
CCUACGGGGGGCUGCAGUGGGGAAUAUUGGACAAUGGGGGGAACCCUGAUCCAGCCAUGCCGCGUGUGUGAAGAAGGCCCUCGGGUUGUAAAGCACUUUCAGUGAGGAAGAACGCCUGGUGGUUAAUACCCAUCAGGAAAGACAUCACUCACAGAAGAAGCACCGGCUAACUCCGUGCCAGCAGCCGCGGUAAUACGGAGGGUGCGAGCGUUAAUCGGAAUUACUGGGCGUAAAGCGCGCGUAGGUGGCUUGAUAAGCCGGUUGUGAAAGCCCCGGGCUCAACCUGGGAACGGCAUCCGGAACUGUCAAGCUAGAGUGCAGGAGAGGAAGGUAGAAUUCCCGGUGUAGCGGUGAAACGCGUAGAGAUCGGGAGGAAUACCAGUGGCGAAGGCGGCCUUCUGGACUGACACUGACACUGAGGUGCGAAAGCGUGGGUAGCAAACAGGAUUAGAUACCCGUGUAGUC